GCCUGGGUGGCUCAGUCGGUUAAGCACCUGACUUCGGCUCAGGUCACGAUCUCAUAGUUUGUGGGUUCGAGCCCCACAUCGGGCU
This 85-nucleotide transfer RNA is filed under the name Felis catus (domestic cat). It matches the Rfam family "tRNA". From Rfam's summary of the family: Transfer RNA (tRNA) molecules are approximately 80 nucleotides in length. Lineage: Eukaryota; Metazoa; Chordata; Mammalia; Carnivora; Felidae. The record is from Rfam by way of RNAcentral.